UGUUAAAGAGGCCACCGCGGCGGCAGACAACAAGUGUAGCAGUGCACUGGAAGAGGCAAUGCGUCCUCCGAUCACACCACUGUCCUGUCUAACAUCCACGUUGUCUUUGAUGCAGAACAAGUCAGCAGAUGUUUGGAGAAGAAAGUAGUAACGACGAUGUCACCGAUUGUCGAUACGUAGAUAAAAUUUGAUAUGACAGCUCAAAGAGUGAUGCACACUCGGUGUCGACUUCAAAGCUAUCAUAUACCGGUACAACAUAAGUCGCCUGCGUGGCGUACACGACCGGCGAGAUACGGCUCACAGAUGAAUGACCCAGAGUAAUUUCCGCCAAUACAUUCAUCUUCUUGGGAGAGAAAUUUACGGUCCUGUUGUAUUUGACACAGACAUAUCUUCAUGAUGGUGUGGAACUCUUCGGUGCUUAGUCCAGUCACUGUCCUGUUGCUGGUGUACCUGAUUGGUUGCCAUGGUGAUGACAAGCCAAUACAACACCUCAUCCUACUGGACAAUUUGCCGGUGUCUAUGGAUAGAACAUCUCCACUUGUGUUCACCAUUCGCUCUGAUUACAAGGGCAUUGUGGAGUUUCAAGAAUCGGACAGUUUCAAGUUUUGAUGAACAUAACAGCGCCCUCUGUUAGAGAUGCUUAUUACAGUUCAUCAUGAGGCUAUAACUCAGCAUGGGGAGUUACUACUGCAGGUG
Liolophura sinensis is the source of this 696-nucleotide long non-coding RNA. RefSeq lists it as uncharacterized. The record is from RefSeq and is a predicted model, not a curated record. The transcript is spliced from 3 exons. Lineage: Eukaryota; Metazoa; Mollusca; Polyplacophora; Chitonida; Chitonidae.